This 686-nucleotide ribosomal RNA is filed under the name uncultured Tomentella. Its description in RNAcentral is "eukaryotic LSU rRNA". The stretch from base 248 to 402 matches the Rfam family "5.8S ribosomal RNA". The record is from RNAcentral. Lineage: Eukaryota; Fungi; Basidiomycota; Agaricomycetes; Thelephorales; Thelephoraceae.
CVAGNMMUARYUKCGRURRGAAGACCUAGCGGAGGAUCAUUACCGAAUUGUCAACACGAGUUGUUGCUGGUCCUCAAAUGGGGACAUGUGCACGCUCUGUUUACACAUCCACUCACACCUGUGCACCCUCCAUAGUUCUGCAGCCUGGGGGGGCUCUGUUCCCCUGCCGUGGUUCUAUGUAUUUACACACACACACACCGUAGUAAAGUCUCAUGGAAUGCAUACCGCGUUUAACGCAAUAUAAUACAACUUUCAGCAACGGAUCUCUUGGCUCUCGCAUCGAUGAAGAACGCAGCGAAAUGCGAUAAGUAAUGUGAAUUGCAGAAUUCAGUGAAUCAUCGAAUCUUUGAACGCACCUUGCGCCCUUUGGCUAUUCCGAAGGGCAUGCCUGUUUGAGUAUCAUGAACACCUCAACUCUCAUGGCUUUGCCAUGAUGAGCUUGGACUUUGGGGGUCUUGCUGGCCUGUGGUCGGCUCCUCUCAAAUGAAUCAGCUUGCCAGUGUUUGGUGGCAUCACGGGUGUGAUAACUAUCUACGCUUGUGGUUUUCCACCAGGUAACCUUCAGUGAUGAAGGUUCGCUGGGGCUCAUAAAUGUCUCUCCUCAGCGAGGACAGCUCUUUGAAUGUUUGAUCUCAAAUCAGGUAGGACUACCCGCUGAACUUAAGCAUAUCAAUAAGCCGGAGGAA